This 253-nucleotide ribosomal RNA is filed under the name uncultured bacterium. RNAcentral's name for it is "partial 16S ribosomal RNA". It matches the Rfam family "Bacterial small subunit ribosomal RNA", at positions 524 to 776 of the family's 1533-position model. The record is from RNAcentral.
UACGUAGGGCGCAAGCGUUAUCCGGAAUUAUUGGGCGUAAAGAGCUCGUAGGCGGUCUGUCGCGUCUGCUGUGAAAACUCAGGGCUUAACCCUGAGCUUGCAGUGGGUACGGGCAGACUAGAGUGCGGUAGGGGAGACUGGAAUUCCUGGUGUAGCGGUGAAAUGCGCAGAUAUCAGGAGGAACACCGGUGGCGAAGGCGGGUCUCUGGGCCGGAACUGACGCUGAGGAGCGAAAGCGUGGGGAGCGAACAGG